This is a long non-coding RNA of Drosophila novamexicana, 731 nucleotides long. RefSeq lists it as uncharacterized. The transcript has 5 exons. The record is from RefSeq and is a predicted model, not a curated record. Lineage: Eukaryota; Metazoa; Arthropoda; Insecta; Diptera; Drosophilidae.
AUGUCAGUGAAAAUCUUAAUUACAUUUUUUUUAAAUCAAGCCAAAAAAUUUGUUGUCGCUAUAAUUAUUUUCUUUUGAUAUUAAAGACUUACUUUGUAGCCCACAGAUAUUAAAGUCCCCACAAUUGGUAUCAACAAGCCUUAAUAUUUGUAACAAAACUGGCCUACAGAACACUAUCCAAAACGAGCCACAAAAUCGAUAACCGUCAAACAGCUGUAACCACUAAUAAAUAAACAACAAUAACAGUGUGCCAAAAAAAAAAUUAAACAUCAAAGAUCGCGUCGCUCGACCUGAGACGAUCACCUGAUCUCGUCUUCCUCAUUUUGGCCAUUAGAUGGCCUUCAUCAGCCCGUGUCGGCAGAUAAUUAGCCGGACAGUAUGUGCGUAGCAAGCAGAAUCUCUUUACUCGGCUUGCAUGUGAUGGUAAAUCAUCACAUGCAAGCGGACGUUUGUUUUCAAAUACAACAGCAGAACAACAAUAAAGAAAAGACGUCGCCGAAUGCUAUGGCCAAUUGCCGCCGGGAAGAACGUAUAUAUAUAUAUUAAAAUUUAAAUAAUAAGUCCUCGCGGAUUUUCGUUAUAAGACUUUAUUUUUGAUUAUUUGAUUAUUUAAGAAACACAAAAUUAAUUAAUUGAUUACGGUUUAUAAAACAGUAGGCCGAUUCGCCGUAGUGAGUGAGUUAAUUUAUUACCGAAGUUGCUGGGCCGAUGUGCCUCAGUGAAAGCCAAAU